This 65-nucleotide transfer RNA is filed under the name Anadara pilula. Its description in RNAcentral is "tRNA-Cys". Lineage: Eukaryota; Metazoa; Mollusca; Bivalvia; Arcoida; Arcidae. The record is from RNAcentral.
GGUCCGUUAGUCGAAGAAGACAUUAAGUUGCAGCCUUAAAGAAGCAAGAGGGAUUGCACGGAUCU